RNAcentral lists this ribosomal RNA (301 nucleotides) under uncultured bacterium. RNAcentral describes it as "partial 16S ribosomal RNA". It matches the Rfam family "Bacterial small subunit ribosomal RNA", at positions 509 to 807 of the family's 1533-position model. The record is from RNAcentral.
CAGUCGCCACGGGAAUACGGAGGGUGCAAGCGUUAAUCGGAAUUACUGGGCGUAAAGCGCACGCAGGCGGUUUGAUAAGUCAGAUGUGAAAUCCCCGGGCUUAACCUGGGAACUGCAUUUGAAACUGUCAGGCUGGAGUCUUGUAGAGGGGGGUGGAAUUCCAGGUGUAGCGGUGAAAUGCGUAGAGAUCUGGAGGAAUACCGGUGGCGAAGGCAGCCCCCUGGACAAAGACUGACGCUCAGGUGCGAAAGCGUGGGGAGCAAACAGGAUUAGAUACCCCUGUAGUCCCUGUCUCUUAUAC